UAAAAUUUGGUUCGAAUUAUCAAAGUGUCUGAACGAUGGAAAUUCAACAUUCAGGAUUUAAGUGGCAGCAGUAAAAGUUUUCGAAAUACCAAGUUUGUUAGUUGCCAGACCACAGUGAAUCAUGCUGUGAUAAGCCGGACACUGACAGGGGCACGAAAAGUCGUAUGAAGUUUGAAAUUCUAGAAGUAAUGCCGUGAAAACACUUGAUGUGCAACACAUCACUGUUUCUUUAGUUGGAAAAUAGAAUAAACGUACUGCUACGUUCACAGUGCACUUGAGAGGGCCGCGUUUAGGUGCCAACCCGUGCGCAGCAAUUUUUUUUUUUUUUUUCUUUCAGGGCGUGGGGUGUGGGGACCUCUGCACCAUUCGAGGCAGUUUUUUUCCGCCUUAAAAUACAUGUUCUUGCAGUGUUUGUACCAGUUUCAUUAUUACCUGGCAAUUACUAACAUUUGUUGAGGGUGCUUGUUCUUGAUCAGCAGUACUAGGCACGAGUGGCCUAGUGUACUUUUUUUUUUUUUUUUUCCUCGCCGGCCGGCGCGUCGUGAUACUCGUGCACAAUAAAACAAACGCAUGCAGUGCAUUAACCAAUCAACGAGUGAAAUUAUUUUGUUUUUGGGGUCCCGCGAGUCGCAUUACCUGAUGCUACGCAAUAUAUGGGCAGCUCUUUCGAACUGCGUAAUUUGGCAGCUUCCACGCCGCCAUUUGAAAUCGGGGGAAGGCACACUCAUUGAAUACUCAAGCUCGAGUCGUCUGAAGUUGACAGCAAGGUUGCGGUACAGCUUCCCGCCCAAGAUUGAAUCACCACGUGAUAGAUGAUGCAUUAAAUAAACGGCUUUGUUAAGAGUUCAUUGAACACAAAGUAAAACACUGUCCGCGUCCUCAGCAAAACGCCGGGCGUUUUUUCAAAUGGACUCUCUGUCGACUAAAAUAACCUGUAAUGUGCUCUACCGGCACAUUGCACAUAAAAGUUUUACAUUACUUGACCUCUCAUCGCGUUUUGUCUCAGCCGAAAGCAGAGGCAAGUGUCUCAUAACACCUGCGCCAGCAGAUGUGCUACCGCCGGAACAAAGGCUACGCCUUAACGUGCGUUUCAAUGAACAAUUAAACGCUGAUUGCGCUUACUUAAGCUCUAUGUGCUUUGUCGCAUCGCGCUGAGCUAAUGAUUGACUUCAUUCUUACGACAAACGAAGCAACCUUGCUGAACCAGCCACAAGUACAACACGAGUGUUUGAUAAGAGGUACAAUAAAGUGUCAAGGGAUUGGCUUCCCCCUUGAGAGACAGCCUCACAUUUGUCACCAGUUGGCUUUCCCUUGGUCCGGUGUGCACUGUCAAUGAUGGCCUCCAGGCAGCGGCCGAACUCCUCCAGCACCGUGCGCUCUACAUCAGCAAAAGGCCUC
Long non-coding RNA from Rhipicephalus sanguineus (brown dog tick), 1398 nucleotides. RefSeq lists it as uncharacterized. The record is from RefSeq and is a predicted model, not a curated record. NCBI's taxonomy places the organism in Eukaryota, Metazoa, Arthropoda, Arachnida, Ixodida, Ixodidae. The transcript is spliced from 3 exons.